GCUUACGGCCACACCGCCCUGAGCGCGCCUGAUCUCAGAAGCUAAGCAGGGUUGGGUCUAAUUAGUACUUGGAUGGGAGACAGCCUGGGAAUACCAGAUGCUGUAAGUU
This 109-nucleotide ribosomal RNA is filed under the name Oryzias melastigma (Indian medaka). Lineage: Eukaryota; Metazoa; Chordata; Actinopteri; Beloniformes; Adrianichthyidae. The record is from RNAcentral.